AUCCUUCUACGAGUUCUUCCACCU
RNAcentral lists this non-coding RNA (24 nucleotides) under Arabidopsis thaliana (thale cress). The record is from RNAcentral. Lineage: Eukaryota; Viridiplantae; Streptophyta; Magnoliopsida; Brassicales; Brassicaceae.